CAAAUAUCACGAACAAUCUUCUACACAUACUCAUUUACUCUUUUUUUUUUUUUUGUAGGCCGUGGAAACAGAAAUCUAGUGGAGGACUCUGAUCCCUAGGGAAUGUAGGGCCACUGGACCCAAUUGCCCUAUAAUCUUGUGUGGUAUUUCCCUGCCCCUGCUCAACUUCAUUGGAUGGCUUGGUUCUGAUGUGCAUUUCCAGGGCUAAGCUGACUGGCCAGGAAGCAGGGAGCAAAGGGGGUUGGACACAGCCAGCAAAUCACGCAGCAUUAACUGGGCUGCGAGGCCGGAUCCUGAGUGGGCAAGCAGGUGGCAGCUGAAGUAUUGUGAAUCGAGAGCCUGAAAUUCUUCAGGAUCUUCUAAGAUUAUCCAUUUGAUUGGGUCAUGGAAUUAAUGCGGGUGGAACUGGAAGUGCUGGAGAUGAGCUGCUGUGGCUGUAUGGACAAAGGCAAGAUCCUAUGGGAUGGCCAAGCAACCAGACAGAAGAACUCUUGAGACCUUGAGGAAAAGAACUGCCCGCAACUGCUCUUGACACUCUCUCCCUCUGGCCUGUUGUGUGGG
Molecule: long non-coding RNA, 561 nt
Filed under: Pan troglodytes (chimpanzee)
Lineage: Eukaryota; Metazoa; Chordata; Mammalia; Primates; Hominidae
Description: long non-coding RNA NONPTRT000953
Source: RNAcentral